Molecule: long non-coding RNA, 3397 nt
Organism: Triticum dicoccoides
Lineage: Eukaryota; Viridiplantae; Streptophyta; Magnoliopsida; Poales; Poaceae
Exons: 9
Source: RefSeq, a predicted model, not a curated record
CCCCGGCUCGACCCCAGUUGUCCCGAACCUCCCCCGAACCGAUCCUCCAGCCCCCCGUCGCCGCGCCGUGAUGCAACCCCAGGCCCCGGUCGCCGCGCCCCCAGGGCCUCGCCGCCGCGCCGCGAUGCCACCUCUGCUGCGACCCUAGGGUCCGGCCGCCGCGCCGCCAGGCCACCUCCGCCGUGCCGCCAGGCCCCAGCCGCCGCACUACCAGGCCACCUCCGCCGCGCCGCCAACCUUCCUUGGCUGCGCUGUCAGGCCCUACGUCGCCGCCGCACUACUCCAGCCAGCGUCCCACCGUGCCACGCUGCUCCAGCCGGCCUUCCACCGCGCUGUGCUUCCCCAGCCCGCCUCGCAAUGCGACGCUGCCCCAGGCCGUUCACGGCCGCUACCCCAGUCUGUUCACCACUGCCAACCAAGGCCGUUCAAUGAUGGGUCGGUCAACAAAAGCAAUGACCUGAGGGAAGAAGACGGAGCUAAAAUGAUUCAGUUCAUCAUUGGCACCCUAUAACCCAAACAGUGAAGAACACACCCCUUGUACUUUUGCUCUUGUUCCUUCUGUCUCCUGAAUUCCACUCUUGAUGAGCAUGCUUGGUACUAGAUAGAUACUGCUGUCGUAGUUCUAAUACAAUAUAUUACAACAAUUCAUUGACAAAAAAUUGUCAAUUCAUAUAUGUAUGCAGCGGCUGUUCUGAUACUACUUCAGUAACCAGAAAAACACAAAAGUUCAACUAUACUUAUACAAAAUAGUUUAAUAUUUUAUUCUAUGACACUCAAGAAAAACAGAAAUAAAAGAGGUUCGUCAUGUGAUGAACAAUAGUCCCAACAAGUGUGCUAGAGAUGCAAAAAAAUUGAUGGCAUAGUCGAUGCUAUUUUUCAUCCAAUUUCUGAAGAAAACUAAAGUUGAUCAGAGUAACUGAAGAAUAAUCUAUUAGUUCUCGAGUAUGUGUAAUGAUGCCAUUUUACUGUGCAUUUGUUUCCAUCGCGACGGAUGUAUUCCAAGAUAUGGUUGUAUCAUUGUGUUGAAUAAAAAUACCAUGUUGCUGCAACAUUUUCUGUCAGCUCCUGUCAAGCAAUACAUGUAUGUGAGCAUCCUUCUAUGUAGUAAGUUCAUAGUCGAGAAGUCAGGAACUUCGGAAAAAUAACGUGAACAUAAAAAAACCAUAAAAACCUGAACCUUAUCUUAGGGGAGUUCAAGAAGUCCGUGUCUAGCCGUCUGUGGUGUGUAUUCUUAUCAGUUCAUAGUCGAGAAGACAUGUAUUCUUAUCAGUUUAUUUUUCUAGCUGGCAGUUUUGUGUAUUUGGUUAGUUUGUGUGUGUAUAUGUUGCCAUCGUGGUAUACGAGAGACCACCCCACGAGAAAGUCGCCGAUCUGGUCGAGGCAUGCUCCUGUUCUCUGUUUUCAGUUGCACAAACAUUUAAAAGUUCGAACACCAAACCCUGGUAAGUUCUCCUUACAAAAACUCAUCUCUCAUAUUUGUUCCUAUUUUUGUAGGUUCCAGUUAAAACAAGAUGCAUAACUUCAUCAUUUGUAUGCUUUUUAGUUCAUCUACUUCCCGAUGGUAUUUCCUUAAAUACUUCGGUCUUGUGCAGCUGGUACUAGUGUGAAUGGGUAGCAAGUUCAACUACCAAUCCACACCAAGUUCAGACCUCUUUUUGGAAUUGGGCCUGCCCCAUGAUCCGGCGUCGCCCUCCGCUGCCUCAGCACGCAGGCCGUUCACCUUCACCACCCCUGGCCGUUCACCACCACCACCAGCGCCCGUUCAAUGCCGCCCCAACAACCCAGUGCGACUUUGUCUCUCUCAACUUAAAAAGCGGUUCAGCUCAGUGCAUGUCAGACAUUAAAGCAAUAUUCUGUAGUAGCUUCAAAAAAUGCAAAUGGUCAUGUUUCCACAAGACUGACAGAACACUGCCAAUUGAAUUGAGCACUAGCGGAACUGUGAAGCACUGACGAAACACUACCAAUUGAAUUGAACGUUGACCACGUCUCCACCCUCCCCACGCCCGCCAAUGCUGCGACCACCCCUCCCCCUCACGAUUUCUCGUUGAUAUCGCUGUAUUCAUGCUUGUUACGUGAGUUGCCUGAUGGAAGUUCUGCAACUGUCAGUCCAGAUGGAAGAAGGAGAUCCGUCCAAAGUGUGAGUUUUGCGACGUCGACGUGCAAGUUCUACAAUUAUCUGUCCAGAUGGGAGAAGGAGAUCAAUCCAACCGACGCAUCUAAAGCGACAUAUGCAGAGCCAUUCGCCUGAGUUCAUAGGCUUCUUAAAAUUUCUAAUAUAAACAAGCUGGUGGCCGCCCAUCUCUGCAUGUAUUUUAUUUCGGAUAGCCAAAUCCUGGCGCGCCCAGCCGCUGCUCGUGAACCCCGCCUCCAUCAGCUCCACUUCACUGGAGCCGUCAGUCCACAGGAAUAGGGGUAGCGGAUCCCCUAUAGCGGUCAAAUCCCGGUGCGCCCAGCCGCUGCUUGUGAACCUCGCCUCCAUCAGCUCCACUUCACCAGAGCCGUCAGUCCGCAGGAGUAGGGGUAGCAGGUUCACCCAACGUCCGACGCCUUCUUCCAUCUCCAAAAAUCUUGUUUUUUGAGUUCAGUUCUUCGUCACAUGUUUCACUAGCUGAAAAAUGCAUGGUGUUCUGAAAUUGCUUGCGGACCACUAGCUGAAAUUGCUUGACGAACAAAAGCAAAGGGCCCAAACCCACUGUCGUGCAAGAAAAAGAAAGCAAAGCCCCAACCAUCAGCUGCUCAAUCAUCAGAACUAAUAGUAAGAUGGAGAAGAGAUAAUGCAACAAAAAUCUUAGAUGGGGCAGUGAAGUCCAUUGCGCAUUCUGAUUUUUUGUAGCUCCGGACAUCAGUUGUAUUGAGACAUGGAUGGCUCUACACCUGAAGUACAUAUAUCUGACAAGCAUGAUCACAUGUUCCCUUUAGAGUCUGAUGGUCGAUGGAGAGGCGAAGCGAAAGACGGUUAGGAAGCGCAAGAGAAGUGGCAAAGACAGUAGGUCCAUGUGUAUUUAACAGCAAGUCCAUGUAUUACUACAUGAGAAGUACUGCUAGUGAGACUUCACUGCCCCAUUUCAACAAACUUGUAUACGCAAUCCUAGUUUGACAAAGUACUCUACUGCCGCUGGUUUCAGUUCCCUCACUGGAUUUGCAGGCUCACGACCAUCCUCCAACACCCCGUCAGUGCCACUAAUUUGAAGGACCUCGGUGAGCGUGUACUUCUCCUGGUAUACAAUUUCAUUCCUCCCUGUAUUGCAGUCAUUUUGGUUAGUAAACUUGUAUCGACGAAGAAUAAUUGCACCAGGAAGUUCAUAUCUUAAAACUAGAUAAGUUCGAAAAACAAACCAUGACCAGUUGAAAAAGAACCACCCUCACCCUAUUUUGUAGCUCACCUCUAAUUCGUUUC